CAGCUGUCAAUCAUCGAGCACGAGCAGGUCUCAGCGUGCACAACAGUGUCACGCGCCUCACUUGGCUUACUGCAGAAACAUGGAGCAACAAAACCCCAAAUUACCGAUUCCUCGACUGCCUUCCACAACUCAAAAUACAUUUAAAAAGUUUAAAAGCCCUUCAUCAAAAGUGGCUGUAAGACGUUGAAGACAGUCGAGUAGAAUUUACAUUGGAGAUUGUUUUAAACGAUGGAGAGAUUUUCGUGAUCUACACAGCCUGAAAACGGAUGAAGAGUUGGCAAAGUAUCUUUUGGACAGGACAUGUGGAUCGGUCUACUCCAUCAUGUGACUGGAGAACAUGAGUGGUCUCUGGAUGCUUGUCAGCAUGAUCCUUUACUAAGUGACAGAGAGAAAGACUGGAUUCAGAAAGGCUCCACUCCACACAAAGCCCUCAGUGACAUCAUUCUCAGUGAACGCUGGCUGAAAGAAGUCCCAAAAUAUUUGAAAUUAAGAUCUACAGCAAAUUUGGAGGCGUUUCACAACCAUCUCCUAAUGUAUGCAAGCAAAAGAUUCAGUUACAUCCCACCUGUUUACGAGGCACAGAUACUGCUUGCUGCAUUGGACUACAAUCACCACUCACAUCGAGAAGUGAAGAGGAGAGCAGAUGGAUCGAUACUGUAUGUAUUUAUUUAUUUAUUU
Molecule: non-coding RNA, 678 nt
Organism: Nothobranchius furzeri (turquoise killifish)
Lineage: Eukaryota; Metazoa; Chordata; Actinopteri; Cyprinodontiformes; Nothobranchiidae
Source: RefSeq, a predicted model, not a curated record